ACGGAGGGUGAAAGCGUUAUUCGGAAUUACUGGGCGUAAAGCGCGUGUAGGCGGUCCUGCAAGUCUGACGUGAAAGCCCCGGGCUUAACCCGGGAAGUGCAUUGGAAACUGCAGGUCUUGAGUACUGGAGAGGAUGGGGGAAUUCCCGGUGUAGAGGUGAAAUGCGCAGAGAGCGGGAGGAAUAUCAGUGGCGAAGGCAGCCAUCAGGGCGGUAACUGACGCUGAGACGCGAAGGCGUGGGGAUCAAACAG
RNAcentral lists this ribosomal RNA (251 nucleotides) under uncultured prokaryote. RNAcentral describes it as "partial 16S rRNA". It matches the Rfam family "Bacterial small subunit ribosomal RNA", at positions 525 to 775 of the family's 1533-position model. The record is from RNAcentral.